CGCCUUUUGAUAAAAUAUAAAAGGUCCAGCCUGCCCAGUGACAAAGUUAAACGGCCGCGGUACCCUAACCGUGCAAAGGUAGCGCAAUCACUUGUUCUUUAAAUAAGGACUAGUAUGAACGGCACCACGAGGAUUAUACUGUCUCCCCCCUUUAAUCAGUGAAACUGAUCCCCCCGUGAAGAAGCGGGGAUAAACUUAUAAGACGAGAAGACCCUGCGGAGCUUUAAACCUACACUACCAAUCUCAAUAUACACCAUAACAAAUAAAUAGGCUUACGUACUAGUUUUAGGUUGGGGCGACCGCGGAGUAAAACUAAACCUCCGCGAUGAAAAGACUUUACUGUCUAAUCUAAGAGCAACACCUCUAAGAAUCAACAAACUGACAUAAUUGACCCAAACACUUGAUCAACGAACCAAGUUACCCCAGGGAUAACAGCGCAAUCCAUUUCAAGAGCCCCUAUCGACAAAUGGGUUUACGACCUCGAUGUUGGAUCAGGGUAUCCCAGUGGUGCAGCCGCUACUAAAGGUUCGUUUGUUCAACGAUUAAAACCCU
This 552-nucleotide ribosomal RNA is filed under the name Chiasmocleis tridactyla. Its description in RNAcentral is "Syncope tridactyla partial 16S ribosomal RNA". It matches the Rfam family "Bacterial large subunit ribosomal RNA", at positions 1829 to 2597 of the family's 2925-position model. Lineage: Eukaryota; Metazoa; Chordata; Amphibia; Anura; Microhylidae. The record is from RNAcentral.